GACGAACGCUGGCGGCGUGCUUAACACAUGCAAGUCGAACGAAGAGCGAUGGAAGCUUGCUUCUCUCAAUCUUAGUGGCGCACGGGUGAGUAACGCGUAAUCAACCUGCCCUUCAGAGGGGGACAACAGUUGGAAACGACUGCUAAUACCGCAUACGAUCUAAUCUCGGCAUCGAGGAUAGAUGAAAGGUGGCCUCUACAUGUAAGCUAUCACUGAAGGAGGGGAUUGCGUCUGAUUAGCUAGUUGGAGGGGUAACGGCCCACCAAGGCGAUGAUCAGUAGCCGGUCUGAGAGGAUGAACGGGCACAUUGGGACUGAGACACGGCCCAGACUCCUACGGGAGGCAGCAGUGGGGAAUCUUCCGCAAUGGACGAAAGUCUGACGGAGCAACGCCGCGUGAGCGAUGACGGCCUUCGGGUUGUAAAGCUCUGUUAAUCGGGACGAAAGGCCUUCUUGCGAAUAGUGAGAAGGAUUGACGGUACCGGAAUAGAAAGCCACGGCUAACUACGUG
Molecule: ribosomal RNA, 510 nt
Filed under: uncultured bacterium
Lineage: Bacteria
Description: partial 16S ribosomal RNA
Rfam family: Bacterial small subunit ribosomal RNA
Source: RNAcentral